AAACCAUGCAUUAGGCAUUUUCUAAUUAAUUCCUUGAAACACUUUCAUGCUUCGUAUAAUGUCUCAUCUUCAGAUUGCCUGCACAAUGUAAUGUCAUUCCUUAGCUU
RNAcentral lists this small nucleolar RNA (107 nucleotides) under Gossypium hirsutum (cotton). RNAcentral describes it as "Plant small nucleolar RNA R71". It matches the Rfam family "Plant small nucleolar RNA R71". From Rfam's summary of the family: R71 is a member of the C/D box family of snoRNAs containing the C (UGAUGA) and D (CUGA) box motifs. Multiple nearly identical copies of this snoRNA have been identified in Arabidopsis, and it is thought to function as a 2'-O-ribose methylation guide for 18S ribosomal RNA. Lineage: Eukaryota; Viridiplantae; Streptophyta; Magnoliopsida; Malvales; Malvaceae. The record is from Rfam by way of RNAcentral.